RNAcentral lists this ribosomal RNA (2760 nucleotides) under Klebsiella variicola. RNAcentral's name for it is "bacterial LSU rRNA". It matches the Rfam family "Bacterial large subunit ribosomal RNA". Lineage: Bacteria; Pseudomonadati; Pseudomonadota; Gammaproteobacteria; Enterobacterales; Enterobacteriaceae. The record is from RNAcentral.
CACUAUCGUUAACUGAAUACAUAGGUUAACGAGGCGAACCGGGGGAACUGAAACAUCUAAGUACCCCGAGGAAAAGAAAUCAACCGAGAUUCCCCCAGUAGCGGCGAGCGAACGGGGAGCAGCCCAGAGUCUGAAUCAGCUUGUGUGUUAGUGGAACGGUCUGGAAAGUCCGACGGUACAGGGUGAUAGUCCCGUACACCAAAAUGCACAGGUUGUGAACUCGAAGAGUAGGGCGGGACACGUGGUAUCCUGUCUGAAUAUGGGGGGACCAUCCUCCAAGGCUAAAUACUCCUGACUGACCGAUAGUGAACCAGUACCGUGAGGGAAAGGCGAAAAGAACCCCGGCGAGGGGAGUGAAAAAGAACCUGAAACCGUGUACGUACAAGCAGUGGGAGCACCUUCGGGUGUGACUGCGUACCUUUUGUAUAAUGGGUCAGCGACUUAUAUUCUGUAGCAAGGUUAACCGUAUAGGGGAGCCGCAGGGAAACCGAGUCUUAACUGGGCGUUAAGUUGCAGGGUAUAGACCCGAAACCCGGUGAUCUAGCCAUGGGCAGGUUGAAGGUUGGGUAACACUAACUGGAGGACCGAACCGACUAAUGUUGAAAAAUUAGCGGAUGACUUGUGGCUGGGGGUGAAAGGCCAAUCAAACCGGGAGAUAGCUGGUUCUCCCCGAAAGCUAUUUAGGUAGCGCCUCGUGAACUCAUCUUCGGGGGUAGAGCACUGUUUCGGCUAGGGGGUCAUCCCGACUUACCAACCCGAUGCAAACUACGAAUACCGAAGAAUGUUAUCACGGGAGACACACGGCGGGUGCUAACGUCCGUCGUGAAGAGGGAAACAACCCAGACCGCCAGCUAAGGUCCCAAAGUCAUGGUUAAGUGGGAAACGAUGUGGGAAGGCACAGACAGCCAGGAUGUUGGCUUAGAAGCAGCCAUCAUUUAAAGAAAGCGUAAUAGCUCACUGGUCGAGUCGGCCUGCGCGGAAGAUGUAACGGGGCUAAACCAUGCACCGAAGCUGCGGCAGCGACACUAUGUGUUGUUGGGUAGGGGAGCGUUCUGUAAGCCUGCGAAGGUGGCCUGUGAGGGUUGCUGGAGGUAUCAGAAGUGCGAAUGCUGACAUAAGUAACGAUAAAGCGGGUGAAAAGCCCGCUCGCCGGAAGACCAAGGGUUCCUGUCCAACGUUAAUCGGGGCAGGGUGAGUCGACCCCUAAGGCGAGGCCGAAAGGCGUAGUCGAUGGGAAACAGGUUAAUAUUCCUGUACUUGGUGUUACUGCGAAGGGGGGACGGAGAAGGCUAUGUUAGCCGGGCGACGGUUGUCCCGGUUUAAGCAUGUAGGCGGAGGUUCCAGGUAAAUCCGGUACCUUUUAACGCUGAGGUGUGAUGACGAGGCACUACGGUGCUGAAGUAACAAAUGCCCUGCUUCCAGGAAAAGCCUCUAAGCAUCAGGUAACAUUAAAUCGUACCCCAAACCGACACAGGUGGUCAGGUAGAGAAUACCAAGGCGCUUGAGAGAACUCGGGUGAAGGAACUAGGCAAAAUGGUGCCGUAACUUCGGGAGAAGGCACGCUGGUGUGUAGGUGAAGUCCCUGCGGAUGGAGCUGAGACCAGUCGAAGAUACCAGCUGGCUGCAACUGUUUAUUAAAAACACAGCACUGUGCAAACACGAAAGUGGACGUAUACGGUGUGACGCCUGCCCGGUGCCGGAAGGUUAAUUGAUGGGGUUAUCCGUAAGGAGAAGCUCUUGAUCGAAGCCCCGGUAAACGGCGGCCGUAACUAUAACGGUCCUAAGGUAGCGAAAUUCCUUGUCGGGUAAGUUCCGACCUGCACGAAUGGCGUAAUGAUGGCCAGGCUGUCUCCACCCGAGACUCAGUGAAAUUGAACUCGCUGUGAAGAUGCAGUGUACCCGCGGCAAGACGGAAAGACCCCGUGAACCUUUACUAUAGCUUGACACUGAACAUUGAGCCUUGAUGUGUAGGAUAGGUGGGAGGCUUUGAAGCGUGGACGCCAGUCUGCGUGGAGCCAACCUUGAAAUACCACCCUUUAAUGUUUGAUGUUCUAACGUUGGCCCGUAAUCCGGGUUGCGGACAGUGUCUGGUGGGUAGUUUGACUGGGGCGGUCUCCUCCCAAAGAGUAACGGAGGAGCACGAAGGUUAGCUAAUCCUGGUCGGACAUCAGGAGGUUAGUGCAAUGGCAUAAGCUAGCUUGACUGCGAGCGUGACGGCGCGAGCAGGUGCGAAAGCAGGUCAUAGUGAUCCGGUGGUUCUGAAUGGAAGGGCCAUCGCUCAACGGAUAAAAGGUACUCCGGGGAUAACAGGCUGAUACCGCCCAAGAGUUCAUAUCGACGGCGGUGUUUGGCACCUCGAUGUCGGCUCAUCACAUCCUGGGGCUGAAGUAGGUCCCAAGGGUAUGGCUGUUCGCCAUUUAAAGUGGUACGCGAGCUGGGUUUAGAACGUCGUGAGACAGUUCGGUCCCUAUCUGCCGUGGGCGCUGGAGAAUUGAGGGGGGCUGCUCCUAGUACGAGAGGACCGGAGUGGACGCAUCACUGGUGUUCGGGUUGUCAUGCCAAUGGCACUGCCCGGUAGCUAAAUGCGGAAGAGAUAAGUGCUGAAAGCAUCUAAGCACGAAACUUGCCCCGAGAUGAGUUCUCCCUGAGACUUUAAGUCUCCUGAAGGAACGUUGAAGACGACGACGUUGAUAGGCCGGGUGUGUAAGCGCAGCGAUGCGUUGAGCUAACCGGUACUAAUGAACCGUGAGGCUUAACCUU